This 500-nucleotide ribosomal RNA is filed under the name uncultured bacterium. RNAcentral describes it as "bacterial SSU rRNA". It matches the Rfam family "Bacterial small subunit ribosomal RNA", at positions 28 to 521 of the family's 1533-position model. The record is from RNAcentral.
GAUGAACGCUAGCUACAGGCUUAACACAUGCAAGUCGAGGGGCAGCACAGUGUAGCAAUACAUGGGUGGCGACCGGCGCACGGGUGCGUAACGCGUAUCCAACCUUCCCGUUACUCUUGGAUAGCCUUCCGAAAGGGAGAUUAAUACAAGAUGGUAUUCAAAUUCCGCAUGUUAUUUGAAUUAAAGAUUUAUCGGUAACGGAUGGGGAUGCGUGACAUUAGGUAGAUGGCGGGGUAACGGCCCACCAUGCCUACGAUGUCUAGGGGUUCUGAGAGGAAGGUCCCCCACACUGGAACUGAGACACGGUCCAGACCCCUACGGGAGGCAGCAGUGAGGAAUAUUGGUCAAUGGUCGGAAGACUGAACCAGCCAAGUAGCGUGAAGGAUGAAGGUUCUAUGGAUUGUAAACUUCUUUUAUACGGGAAUAAAACACCUUACGUGUAGGGUCUUGUAUGUACCGUAUGAAUAAGCAUCGGCUAAUUCCGUGCCAGCAGCCGCGGU